Molecule: long non-coding RNA, 1022 nt
Filed under: Cyanistes caeruleus (blue tit)
Lineage: Eukaryota; Metazoa; Chordata; Aves; Passeriformes; Paridae
Description: lncRNA (ENSCCEG00000009650.1)
Source: RNAcentral
UAAUGUCCUUGUGCUCCAAAGGGGUUAAACUAAAAGCCUGUGGAGUUCACCAUCUAAGCCAAGCUCUGAAGCAAUCCUAGACUUAAUCAGGGAAGCAGAAAAGACUCUGGUCACAGGAAGCAGUGGCCCUGGGAGGGAGAGGGCAAGUGAGCUUUAGAGCUGGCAUGAGCAGGGAAAGAAGUCUGCUCAUCACGACUUGGCUUUGGUGCAUGACCGAGUAGGGUCACAGCAUGCACGGGAGGUCCUGGACCAGGUUUUCGCUUGGGAAAAUAAAAAACCCUCAACUGGUGGCCUUCUGGAGUACAUCUGCAAACCAUGUGGAUGCACUAAAUGCAAGAUUAUAAAAUCUAAACUUUUCUACUGCCUGGAUCUGCUCUCUCGGCAUCUGCCAAAUCACUUGGCCUACUGCAUUACCCUGGAAAACAGCUCAUCUGCCUGAAUACUUCUCUGUCUCUCUGAGCUACAUCAGAUCAACUAAAAUGUAAACUCUGUCAACAACCCUUAUCACUCUAAAGGAAACUACAGAUCUGCUUGGGUUGUAGAAAUUAUGUUUAUUCUGAUGUUCAGCUGGGCCCCAGGUCCCACACAGAUGGAAAAAAACCUUAAAAUCUGUAUUUGGUUUCACUUGCAUCAGAAGUUGAACUCCUAUGUGUUAAGUUUCUUGCUUUACAUAAGCGUAGUGGUUUCAUAUUCUUUUUUUUAUACCAGAAUCAUUGGGAUAACUGGCAGUCUAAUGGUAGGCUGAUCAAUGAUCUCACAUCCGAAAAUGCAAACAUAACUGCAGACAGCUUCCCCAGGAAGAGCAAAUUCUCUGCUGCAAAAGUUCCUUCUGCAAACACGCGUCCCUUGAGGGGAAAUGGGAGCCAGGAGCUCGCGCUGGGCGCACUGAAACAAUGCAAGAAACAGAUUUUCAAGCCUGUCCCUGCAGCUGAUCCUGCCAGUUUUGCCUGUUACCCUGCGUGGUCAGAAACUUCUGCUGCUUGUGGAGACAGAUCAUUGUUUACUCAAGAAAUCUGCAGUUG